AGAACGAACGCUGGCGGCGUGGAUAAGACAUGCAAGUCGAACGGGACAGUCUUGUAGCAAUAUGAGACUGUUCAGUGGCGAACGGGUGCGUAACACGUGGGUCACAUUCCGGGAAGUGAGAAAUAGCCCAGGGAAACUUGGAUUAAUAUCUCAUGUGGUCGCAAGACUAAAGGCGCAAGCCGCUUCCUGAUUGGCCCGCGGCCUAUCAGCUUGUUGGUGAGGUAAUGGCUCACCAAGGCAGCGACGGUAGCUGGUCUGAGACGGACGACCAGCCACACUGGAACUGAGACACGGUCCAAGACACCGUACGGGUCGCAGGCAGUCGAGAAUCUUACAACAAGUACGGGGAACCCU
RNAcentral lists this ribosomal RNA (354 nucleotides) under uncultured soil bacterium. Its description in RNAcentral is "bacterial SSU rRNA". It matches the Rfam family "Bacterial small subunit ribosomal RNA", at positions 26 to 384 of the family's 1533-position model. The record is from RNAcentral.